Molecule: unclassified non-coding RNA, 237 nt
Filed under: Hevea brasiliensis (rubber tree)
Lineage: Eukaryota; Viridiplantae; Streptophyta; Magnoliopsida; Malpighiales; Euphorbiaceae
Source: RNAcentral
CUCUUCUUGAAUCCUACCUAGCAUCUCAUACACUGCUGUGGCAAUUUCAUCCACUGAACUCAGCUUACAGUCAUCUUCCACCUUGACACUUAGAGAAUAAAGUACGAUUUGGUGAAGUGUUGUGACAUUUAGGUGAAGGAUGGUCAGACGCAUAGUAAGCAACCCAGAAACAACCUUCAGCAGCUGCUUUGGUCUCCUUUUCGAUCUUAUUUUGAGGUUUGCAUGACUCUCCACCAU